This is a long non-coding RNA of Herpailurus yagouaroundi (jaguarundi), 873 nucleotides long. RefSeq lists it as uncharacterized. NCBI's taxonomy places the organism in Eukaryota, Metazoa, Chordata, Mammalia, Carnivora, Felidae. The transcript is spliced from 3 exons. The record is from RefSeq and is a predicted model, not a curated record.
CCUGACGUCACACGGAGGCCUCGCCCCACCUCCCUCGACACAGCACAGCCAAUGGGCGCCUCGAGCUUGACUUGAGCCCGCCCCCCGCUUGCGCAAGGACGCGUGGGCGUUUAAGGCAAGCCGGAAGACUAGGGUGGGGACGGUGGCCCCGAGGGGACACGCCCGGCGGGGUCGGCCGGCGUUGUGCCGGCACACGCAACCGGGUCUUGGCUCAGUGAGUGGUAGCCGCCGUUGUUUCCAGACACAGAGUAGCGUGAGGUGCGUUGUGAGACUACCUGCCGUACAGCUGUGGAAGCCCGGGGCAGAGAAUGGUGAAGUCGAAGAAAGGGGCCACAGUCAAACACGCGGCUCUCCACACUCCCCUGGAACCGGAUCUUCUGCAGUCCUGUCCUUGUCUAAGCCCAUCAGGAGAGGUGCCGAGAGCUUCUGAGACUGAGCCCCCAACCCCACCCCAGGCGGGACUGGGCACAGAGGCCUGAGGACCCAGGGCCUGCGCUGGGUUGAUGGGAUCACCUGAAUCGAGCCCGGUCUCCUCCUCGGUCAGGUUCAGGAUGUAGGUGUCAGGACUGGAGCAGAAGUCGCUAAGGCCCUGAGAGAAGCAUCAGGAAAAAGGGCUCAGACCAGAAACUUUUCUAGUUCCACACUCGCACAGAACUCAGUGUCUGGAUAACAGCCCAGCCCCCCAGCCCUGGGAAGCCAGGAGUCCAGGCCCCCAGCCCCUCCUCCCUCAGGCCCAGGAGUCCUGGCCCCCAGCCCCCCCUCCCUUAGAACACACGUAUCCAAGGCUCUAGCUUCCAGCCCUCAGGAUCUAGACCUCAGAACCUGGGAUCCUGGCCCCAAGUCCUUCCUCUCAGGGUCUGCCCCGGGAUGCAG